RNAcentral lists this long non-coding RNA (1115 nucleotides) under Nicotiana benthamiana. RNAcentral's name for it is "long non-coding RNA (NBEN_LNC028112)". Lineage: Eukaryota; Viridiplantae; Streptophyta; Magnoliopsida; Solanales; Solanaceae. The record is from RNAcentral.
GACAGUCUCAUUGUGCCAAAACUGAAGUCCUGGGGUCUGGGGAAGGUAGUAUGUACGCAGACCUUACUCCUUGCUCUGUUUUCAAAUAGACCCCGGCAUCCUUUCCUCCAAGAACUUUCCAAGGAGUAAGGUCUGCUCCAAAGCACCAACCAUUUUACCCACAAUUCUGAUCCAAUAAAAAACAAAAAGAAGACAAAGGAGCGCAGAACCAAACUCACCGGAAAGCUCCACAAACAACACAGGAAUUAGAGAAACUACGAAUUUUUUUGCACAAAAAGACGAGUAAUUGCUGAUAAAGAUGAGAAUUGCUUCAGAGAGAACAUGCCAGCAAUUUGAAUGGAGUUUCGUAAGCACGCGUUAAACCUGGAGCCAACGGGGGCAUCACAUGUCCGAAUUACUCCUAACACCAAUCUUGCAAAAUUACCCCUGCGCAGACCAGCAGCUAAUCGGAAGCUCCUCAAACUCUCCCUUAUUAAUAGUGUAUGUAUGUAUGUAACAAAGAAAGGAUGAUUUGGAGAUUGAUCAACAUAAAUCAUUGUCAUAAAGGAAAUUUUCUGCUAACUUUAGCAUCCUCAUUGGAAAAGGAAGAAAAAGAACAUUCUCUUAAUUCAACUCCUUACAACAGCAUAACUUAUACAUGGCAACCAGAAGAUAAUAGAGAAGACACAAAAAAACUUCGAUGUAAAUGAUACGUAACAAGUACUAACAUAAGGCUCAUCAUUCCAUUAACUAGUAAAAGUAACAUAAACCUCAGGUAGAAAGCCCAAGCACAGACACAGCAAAAAGGCAAGAUGGACUCAGGUUGGCCAAGAAAAAUGGCAAAUUGCUUUUAAACAUUCCUGCUUUUUCUUGUUCUGACUUGAAACAAUGUGCCAAAUUAUCUGUACAAAGCUUUCUUCCUUUUUGCUUCAUCAACCUCCCAAUUGAAGUUGAGACUUAGAAAAUACAUGUUAAGAUAUCAAUACUUAAUAGUUUUAUAUUAAUAUGACAGAGGCAUACAGGCCCUGCAUAAGCUACUUACCACGAAAGUCCUCUUAUACAAGCAUUCAAUUCAAAGGUUACAGCUUGACUACUGGAUCUUAUAAGGAAAUCUCAACGGAAGCAGGAAAAAAGUU